This 547-nucleotide ribosomal RNA is filed under the name uncultured bacterium. Its description in RNAcentral is "bacterial SSU rRNA". It matches the Rfam family "Bacterial small subunit ribosomal RNA", at positions 355 to 894 of the family's 1533-position model. The record is from RNAcentral.
UAGGGAAUCUUCCACAAUGGGCGCAAGCCUGAUGGAGCAACACCGCGUGAGUGAAGAAGGGUUUCGGCUCGUAAAGCUCUGUUGUUAGAGAAGAACACGUAUGAGAGUAACUGUUCAUACGUUGACGGUAUUUAACCAGAAAGUCACGGCUAACUACGUGCCAGCAGCCGCGGUAAUACGUAGGUGGCAAGCGUUAUCCGGAUUUAUUGGGCGUAAAGAGAGUGCAGGCGGUUUUCUAAGUCUGAUGUGAAAGCCUUCGGCUUAACCGGAGAAGUGCAUCGGAAACUGGAUAACUUGAGUGCAGAAGAGGGUAGUGGAACUCCAUGUGUAGCGGUGGAAUGCGUAGAUAUAUGGAAGAACACCAGUGGCGAAGGCGGCUACCUGGUCUGCAACUGACGCUGAGACUCGAAAGCAUGGGUAGCGAACAGGAUUAGAUACCCUGGUAGUCCAUGCCGUAACGAUGAGUGCUAGGUGUUGGAGGGUUUCCGCCCUUCAGUGCCGGAGCUAACGCAUUAAGCACUCCGCCUGGGGAGUACGACCGCAAGGU